Rosa rugosa (rugosa rose) is the source of this 4949-nucleotide RNA transcript. It is a transcript of the gene named probable disease resistance protein At4g27220, with no coding region annotated. The record is from RefSeq and is a predicted model, not a curated record. The transcript is spliced from 5 exons. Lineage: Eukaryota; Viridiplantae; Streptophyta; Magnoliopsida; Rosales; Rosaceae.
UUCUAUUUGUAUGUCAGGUUGGAUUACAUGCAUAUGCUCCAUUGUGUAUGUCCACGUGUAAUCUGUAGACAAUAAAAAGCGUGGAAAUUAGUUUAGUCAAUUUAGUCUGCUCUCUCUCUCUCUCUCUCUGUCUGUUUCAUUACUUCCUUUGAACAAUUCAUACAACCUUCUCUCUUUUUGGUGAUAUGGUGAUCUGUAGCUACGCUAGGUUCUCUGCCUUUGACUCUUUGAGUGAUUCCUACAACCUUAUCUGAUUUUGGUAAUCUCUAGCUCCCACUUGAUACCUAUACCUAGCUUUCUUCCCUUUGGUUUCAGCUUUUCUUCUCCAUCGUUGUUUUGUGGCUUCAAUGGCCUUGUGCCCCCAAUCAGCCUCUCCAUCUUUUCCUUCAUCAUCAGCUCCUCGAUCAAAGCAUGAUGUGUUUCUCAGUUUUAGGGGUGAAGACACUCGCAAGGGUGUUGUAUCCUAUUUAUACCAUGAAUUGCAAAACAGAGGAAUACAAACAUUCAUGGAUGACCAAGGGCUUCAGCAAGGGAUGCCUAUUUCUCCAAGUCUCGUAGCUGCAAUAGAGGAAUCGAGGUAUGCAAUCGUUCUUCUGUCUCCAAAGUAUGCUUCUUCUACAUGGUGUUUGGAUGAACUUGUGAAGAUUCUUCAAUGCUCUGAAGCCAAGAAGACACCAGUUCUGCCAAUUUUUUAUUAUGUGGAUCCCUCUGAUGUGCGAAAUCAAAGGGGAAGUUUUGCGGAAGCCUUCACUAAGCAUGAAGAGAGGUAUAGGCAAGGCAAUGAUGAUGUAGAGAAGGUGAAGAAGUGGAGAGCUGCUUUAACACAAGUGGCCAAUCUCUCUGGGUUGGAUUUAAACAAAUUUGGGUCUGAAAAAGAACUUGUCCAACGCAUUGUGGAACUUGUGCGCCGUGAUGUAAGGCCUAUUUCAAUAAUGUCGAGCAGCAAUUUUGAAGCAUUUGAAUCAACAAGAAAAGCCAUGAAUGAGCUGAUGGAGGCAUUAGAAGAUGAUGAGGUCGCUGCCAUUGGGGUCUAUGGAAUGGGAGGGGUUGGGAAGACAACCAUGGUGAAACAUGUCGGUGCACAGGCCCAAAAAAUGGGGCUUUUUGAUCAUGUGAUUAUGGCUGUUGUAUCCCAAACCCCAGAUAAAAGAAAUAUUCAAGGCGCACUUGCGGAUCUGCUGGGCUUGAAAUUGGUGGAGGAGACAGAAAUUGGACGAGCCAGUAGAUUGCAGAAGGAGAUACUUAGAAGAAAUAAGAUCCUUAUAAUCUUAGACGACAUUUGGAAUAGACUGGAGUUGUCAAGCAUUGGAAUUCCCAGCUACAACGAGCUUCAAAUAUGCAAUUCCAAAGUGCUACUCACCACAAGGAGAUUGAAUGUUUGCCAUACCAUGGAGAGCCAAGCAAAAAUUCAUCUCAGUAUCUUAUCAGAAGAUGAUGCUUGGAACUUGUUUUUGAAGAAGGCAGGAAAGUCUUUUCAGAAGUCUACCGCUUUUUAUGAAGUAGCCAGAAAGGUAGCUCGAGAAUGUGCUGGUCUCCCAGUUGCGUUGAUAGCAGUUGCGAGGGCACUUGGAGAUAAAGAUUUUGAAGCCUGGAAAGAAGCAGCUCGACAACUUGAGAUGUCUCAACCUGCCAACCCUGAACAGGACAAAGAUGUGUUCAAGUGUAUAAAGUUGAGCUAUGACUACUUGGACGAUAAUGCCGAUGUGUCCAGAAGUCAAGCCAAGUAUUGCUUCUUGCUCUGCUGCCUAUUCCCAGAAGAUUAUGAUAUCCAAAUAGAAGACAUUAUGAAGUAUGGCUUCAGAACAGGAUUGUUCCGAGAUGACAACAGCACAAUAGAGAAUGCCAGAGCCAACGCAAAAUCAGUGAUUGACCACCUUAAAGAUUCUUGUUUGCUUUUGGACGGUUCAAAGGUCGGAUGUAUAAAGAUGCACGAUGUCAUUCGAGAUAUUGCCGUGUCCAUUGCAUCAGAUGGCCAACAUUUUUUGGUGAAAACUCGUUGUGAUUUAAAAGAUUGGCCGAUGGAUGCGCAUGAGGGCUACUCAGCAAUCUCACUAAUUGAGAGCAACAUUUGCAAGCUUCCCAACAAGUUGGUAUGUUCAAAACUUCAGAUUUUAUUGCUACAACAAAAUGCUUGUAUAAUAAAGAUCCCAAAAACCUUUUUUCAAUGUCCCAAUGAUUUAAGGGUCUUAGAUCUUAGCAAUACUGGCAUUUCAUCACUGCCCCCAUCAUUCAGUCUCCUGACCACACUCCAAGCUUUGCAAUUAGAUAAUUGCCGGUACCUUAGGGACAUAUCCAUACUUAGAAAACUGAAAAAGCUCGAGAUUCUUAGUAUGAGAGACUGUUCUAUUAAGAAAUUUCCAAAAGAGAUAGGAAAUUUGACCAAAUUAAGAAUGCUGGACUUGACCAAGACUAGUUUUGAGACAGUUCCCUCUCAAGUGAUAACAAGGUUGUAUAGACUAGAAGAACUGUACAUGAACUAUAGUUUUGGCUACUGGGGUAGUAAAGUUAAGGGAGGCUUGUUGUGUUUUCUUGGUAAGAAUGCUGACUUUGAUGAGUUAACUGUCUUGUCACGUUUAAACACUUUGGAGGUUUCCGUAUAUGGUGUAGAACGUUUGCCUCAAAAUGUUGAGCCCAUUCCAAAUUGGGUCAACUUUUAUAUACGUAUCAGAAGAUUCGGGUUCAGAAAUUGCACUAGGGGAGAUCACAUUCCACAUCCUUCUUCAAGAGCAUUGAUCAUUGACACAACCAUGAAUAACUUACCCAAUUGGUUCAUCAGUGUGGUGACAGAAAAAACAGAGGAUUUAUGGUACAACUGCUGCAAUGGCUUAACUAACCUUCUCGAGGAACACGACCGUGGGAGAUUACAUGGACUCAAGUAUCUUUGUAUAGAAUCUGUAUAUGCAGAAGUGUUGUUCAACACAAUAACAUGGCCUAAGGGGUCAAAUGAACCUGUGUUUGAGCACUUGGAAGAGUUGAAAAUCUAUUUCGGGCAUUGCCUGGAGGAGCUAUGUGUUGGUGAUUUACCACUUGGCUCUGUACGUAAUCUCAAGAUAUUGAAUGUGCAAUCUUGUUCUAGGUUGGUGAAACCACUUUUACCGUCAAAGUUGUUGCACAGAUUACAGAGUCUGGAAAAACUAGUAUGUUCUUAUGUAGUUAUGAAUUAUGUGUUUGGAUUUGAAGGGGAUGAACCACAACACGUUGUCUUUACAAAGUUGAGAAUGAUUUCACUGAGACAAAUGUACCGGCUAAUAAACAUAUGGAAUGGUCCUGCUCCACCUGGAAUCUUCCAGAGCCUCAAAAUCUUUUACUUGAAGGAUUGCCCAAUACUGAAAUAUCUCUUCACAUCUGAGGUAGCUCGAUGUCUUUUGCAAUUGGAAGACGUUUGGGUAGAGUGUUGUAGUAGAUUGGACAGACUAAUUGAAGCAACUGAGGAAACAGAGAGCAACAAGAUUGUUCUUCCACAAUUGAAAAACCUAGUUUUGAAACGUCUUCUAAAGCUCACAAGGUUCUCCAGUACCAGCAGCAGUACUAUUAUUAUUGAAAUCGAGUGCCCUUCAUUGCAACACUUGUACGUGGAUGAGUGCCCCUGGGUUACAAUCUCUGCUUCUGACUUCAGCAGCAGAAACCAAGUCCCCUGGUUUCCAAUCUCUGCUUCUGGCAUCAGCAGCAGAAGCCAAGUCCAACUAAAUGAUCACCAACAUAUGGGCACACUACGGGGAAGGAUCGACAAUGAAUCAAAGCUCUCACACUUUCCACUCUGGACGUGAUAAGGGGGGAACUCGAUGAUACGUAUGGCUUAUAAGCAGCUUUAUGCUCAUUAUCAUGCAUGGGCUAGCAGGACUGGUGUCCAUGUUUCCAUAGUGGCACAACUGUUGAGGAACCAAAACAAAGAUGCAACCUGAGAGCUCGAGCUUGAUGAGGGGAUUAGACUGAUGUAAUUUUAAUAUGCCCUUAACAUGUUCCCACAAAGACAAACACCAAGAACAGUACUGCCAAUAAACCUCAAGCAGAUCAGAAAGCUUGUUACAGGUAAACUCUUAUACUGAUAAGAAAGAAUAGAAAGAAGAAUAAUGCCGGGAAAUGCCAGAGAUAAGUGGUAGUGAGAAUUUUUUUUUUUUUUUUUAGUUAAGGUGGUAUAUAUAAAAAAAAGGAUGUGUAUUUAGUGAAUAUGUAUUAUGUAUUAUGAAUGAGAAUAGUUUAGGAAGUCCGGGGUUGUGUUUCUAGUAAAAUAUUAAAAUAAAAAAAUUAAUAGAAUGUGUAUUAAGUAGGAGAUGUGUAUCUAGUAUUUUGCAAUGUGUUAAUAAAAUUUCUCUUAAUAUAAGAACGUGAAAAAACCCAACCAGAUCCCCUAAUUUGCAUCCUUAAAAUGGUUUACUUCGAGCUGACAUUAUGCGUGUGCACUACUAAUCUGACACACUAGCUCAGAUUGAAGUAUUAUAGACCGCUGUGUGCUUAACGCAUGGCUCCUUAUUGAAGUAGUAUAGCUGUUACAGAGGAAAUUCACAGAAAAAAACAACAACAACAAAAAAUAUAUCCCAUCUGUCAUUCUAAAUGCGACCCGUUGUCGUGCUAAUUGAUCUCAAUUUAAUCAUAACUAGUAGAGACUCGACCACUAUACUUUCCUCCAUCUAGCACUCUGAAUUCUUAUUACUUUUCUCUUUGCAAUGGAGUUGGAGAGCAUUCAAGGAUGUCUGGAGAACAAGACCAUCUUUGUUACUGGACCCACUGGCUUGCUAGGAAUGGUUUUUGUGGAGAAAAUACUACGGGUUCAGCCAAACGGGAAAAGGCUCUUAUCUCCUUAAUAGAGUUUUCGAUGCCAAAUCUGCCACACAUCGCAUGCACAAUGAGGUUUAAUAUAAAUCCACAAAUAUUUCACACCUGCACUUUUAAAUAGUUUUUAUAUCAAUUGACAUUUACUUGUAUGAAUUAUCAAGAUCAUAAGGAAAGAG